CCUCCCAGGGUUUUUGCAAGGAUCAAAUGAGGUAUCUGAAAAGCCCUUAGCACAGUGCUUGGAAUAGUGCAGAUGCUUAAGGAGUGCUUGUUUCCUUUCUCUUCCCUCCAUCUUAUAUUUGUGAAUUUGUUAAAUCCAAUACUGAAUUUCAUUUCAUUAGGCUUAGCCUGAUGCUCCCUCCUGGCAAGAUCCUGGCUUUGUCAUCCUCCUUUUGUGUCAUCAUUCUCCAACGUAAGGGCAAAUCUGAACUGGAUAAUGGUGACUAAAUGGGAUAGUGGCUAGAACACUCUCUUCCUGGCAGCCGUAUGAGAUUGAGUCUGAUAAUGGCUGGUAAUGGUACAGGACUCCAAGAUUUGCCCUUUGCUUCAUAGAUGAUGUUCUCACUGAUCUUCAUAGAAAUGGUUCUUCCAGUCUCCAACUUACAGAUGGGGGAAGCAGCUAAAGUGAAGAAAGGACAUUCCUUGCCCCCGGUCAUAGUCCUCCAGUGACAGGGCUUAGAACUCCAGCAUCCUAGUGCUCUCUCCACCCUGGGCUCUGCCUCUUGUGGUUAAUCGUCUACUUUAAAGCAGAGAGAAAAGGACUGGGGGUGUAACAGUUAAAAUUUAGGGGAGAUGGGGAGUCUGAGGCAGGUAGAAAUUAGUUUCUCUCUGCAAGGAGUAUUAUAUUUCUUAGAGGUUUAUUAAAGGUUAAAGAUUAAAAUAUAUAUACAAGUAAGAAACAUGUGCCUAGGCCAGAGGCCUAGACAAAAUAACCUCACAUCACGCAAGAGACCACCUGCUCCAAAACGGAAGUCCAAAAAGAGCCCAGCCUCUCAAAAGCCUUUGAAUCAGCUUAAAUACCUUCUCGAUCUCGGCCCAGAUCACUGUCUGGAGUUGGUUUCUACACCCAGAGAAGACUUGGUCCUCUAUGGUUUGGAAUUCCUGGUUGACAGAAUCUUCAGGAACAAGAGAUGAAAACAUGUCCUCUGUAUAUCCCCAAACCAAUAAAUCCUGAUACCCUUCUGACCA
Molecule: long non-coding RNA, 1007 nt
Filed under: Monodelphis domestica (gray short-tailed opossum)
Lineage: Eukaryota; Metazoa; Chordata; Mammalia; Didelphimorphia; Didelphidae
Description: lncRNA (ENSMODG00000037536.1)
Source: RNAcentral